GAGUUUGAUCCUGGCUCAGGUUGAACGCUGGCGGCAUGCCUUACACAUGCAAGUCGAACGGCAGCACGGGCUUCGGCCUGGUGGCGAGUGGCGAACGGGUGAGUAAUACAUCGGAACGUGCCCUGACGUGGGGGAUAACUAGUCGAAAGAUUAGCUAAUACCGCAUACGACCUGAGGGUGAAAGCGGGGGACCGUAAGGCCUCGCGCGACAGGAGCGGCCGAUGUCUGAUUAGCUAGUUGGUGGGGUAAGAGCCUACCAAGGCGACGAUCAGUAGCUGGUCUGAGAGGACGAUCAGCCACACUGGGACUGAGACACGGCCCAGACUCCUACGGGAGGCAGCAGUGGGGAAUUUUGGACAAUGGGGGCAACCCUGAUCCAGCAAUGCCGCGUGUGUGAAGAAGGCCUUCGGGUUGUAAAGCACUUUUGUCCGGAAAGAAAACGCUCUGGCUAAUACCUGGGGCGGAUGACGGUACCGGAAAAAUAAGCACCGGCUAAAUACGUGCCAGCAGCCGCGGUAAUACG
RNAcentral lists this ribosomal RNA (523 nucleotides) under uncultured soil bacterium. RNAcentral describes it as "bacterial SSU rRNA". It matches the Rfam family "Bacterial small subunit ribosomal RNA", at positions 9 to 527 of the family's 1533-position model. The record is from RNAcentral.